UACGGAGGGUGCAAGCGUUAUCCGGAUUUACUGGGUUUAAAGGGUGCGUAGGUGGGCAGGUAAGUCAGUGGUGAAAUCUCCGGGCUUAACCCGGAAAUUGCCAUUGAUACUAUUUGUCUUGAAUUAUCUGGAGGUAAGCGGAAUAUGUCAUGUAGCGGUGAAAUGCUUAGAUAUGACAUAGAACACCAAUUGCGAAGGCAGCUUACUACGGAUAUAUUGACACUGAGGCACGAAAGCGUGGGGAUCAAACAGG
RNAcentral lists this ribosomal RNA (253 nucleotides) under uncultured bacterium. Its description in RNAcentral is "partial 16S ribosomal RNA". It matches the Rfam family "Bacterial small subunit ribosomal RNA", at positions 524 to 776 of the family's 1533-position model. The record is from RNAcentral.